GCCUGGGUGGCUAAGUCAGUUAAGUGUCUGACUUCAGCUCAGGUCAUGAUCUCAUGGUUUGUGGGUUCAAGCCUCAUGUCAGGCU
Molecule: transfer RNA, 85 nt
Organism: Felis catus (domestic cat)
Lineage: Eukaryota; Metazoa; Chordata; Mammalia; Carnivora; Felidae
Rfam family: tRNA
About the family: Transfer RNA (tRNA) molecules are approximately 80 nucleotides in length. Their secondary structure includes four short double-helical elements and three loops (D, anti-codon, and T loops). Further hydrogen bonds mediate the characteristic L-shaped molecular structure. tRNAs have two regions of fundamental functional importance: the anti-codon, which is responsible for specific mRNA codon recognition, and the 3' end, to which the tRNAs corresponding amino acid is attached (by aminoacyl-tRNA synthetases). tRNAs cope with the degeneracy of the genetic code in two manners: having more than one tRNA (with a specific anti-codon) for a particular amino acid; and 'wobble' base-pairing, i.e. permitting non-standard base-pairing at the 3rd anti-codon position.
Source: Rfam